UGGUGGGCACAGAAUCCGGCCUCU
Molecule: microRNA, 24 nt
Filed under: Ovis aries (sheep)
Lineage: Eukaryota; Metazoa; Chordata; Mammalia; Artiodactyla; Bovidae
Description: oar-miR-541-3p
Gene: oar-miR-541-3p
Source: miRBase by way of RNAcentral